AGCUGUAUGUUAUAGGAACCAAAACUUAUUUAAGCUAUUUUCAUUACCUACAUGUAACCUUAUGCCCAUGAAAAGUUGAUUUUCCAAAAAAAUUGCAUAAGUAAAUAUUGGUCUUAAUUAUUUCUGGAAUCUAACCCAAAAGCACAAGUUCCUCCACUCCCUUGUGGCUGCAUGUUUCUAGCUUGGCAUUUAUAUUGUUUAAAUUCUGAAAGUAGAAAAAACACUUCAAAGUAGUAUUAAACAAUUGUGAAAAUGUAUUGCUGAAUUGAAAUCUAUUACAGUAUAUCAUUUGAAGUUCACUUAUAAAUCAUAAUUAUGAUUAGCCAACACAAAGAGGAUUAUGUUUCAAGCAAUAAAUUUCAAGGGCAUAAAUAAAGAGACUUUCUAAAAGACACACCGGCUCAUAACGAUUCGAGAUAUAGAUUUCUAAGUUCUAACCUUUGUAUCAAUGAAAUGGCACCAUGAGGGUGAAUUAGUCACAAAUUUAACAGGAAAACAUAAUAUAUAAUCACAUAUUUAACAGGAAAACAAAAUAUAUAGCACUUGUUUUCUCUAACCCCAAUUGUUAAUCUUUUUAUUUUUUUAUUACCAUGAUAUACCACUGCAGUUAGCAGCGAUGAAUAAUCUCCGUCGGUGAACCUCUGGGACACACAAGGUAGGUUCUCCUCUCCCAACCGAAUUCUUUCCAUACGUAAGAGCCAAGAAUGAACCCCUGACUACUUGUAAAUCAUAAUUAUGAUUAGUCAACGCAAAUAGGAUUAUGUUCCAACAAUAAACUUCAAGGGCAUAAAUAAAGAGAUUUUCUAAUAGAAACACGGGCUCAUAACGAUUCGAGAUAGAGAUUUCUAAGUUCUAACCUUUGUAUCAAUGAAAUGGCACCAUUAGGGUGAAUUAGUCACAAAUUUAACAGGAAAACAAAAUAUAUAAUCACAUAUUUAACAGGAAAACAAAAUAUAUAGCACUUGUUUUCUCUAACCCCAAUUUUUAAUCUUUUUAUUUUUUGAUUACCAUGAUAUACCACUGCAGUUAGCAAUGAAUAAUCUCCGUCGUGGAACCUCUGGGACACACAAGGUAGGUUCUCCUCUCCCAACCAAAUUCUUUCCAUACGCAAGAGCCAAGAAUGAACCCCUGACCACUUGCUUAAGGGCCCAAGACACUUACCACUUGGACUAAUUCAUUGUUUGUGUCCCCAUUGUUAAUCUAAAGCUAGGAUAUGGAAAUUUUAUCCCAUGAACAACCAAUUCACAAAUAGUGGAGAAUCAACUUAGAAAAUAAUACACAUAAAGAAUCAUGAGAUAUUAUAACAAAAAGGGUCGUUACUGUUAGUAAUAACUGAGAUUUAAUUCAUUGAGGACUUUCCACAAACACAUUAAAGUAUAAACGAAAUAGUAGAGAAGUUGAAGCAUAUCUUUGUAUAAGGAGAAGGAAAAACUCAUCUUGGAGUUGACUUGAGAAGCAGUAGAAUUUUGGGGCAUGGUGGUGAUGAUGAAUACAAAACACAAUCAAAGUUCGAUUGACGAUGAUGUUAGUGUUUUUCCUUAGAAUGCAGAACUUGCCUUUCUUUUCGGUGGUUUCU
RNAcentral lists this long non-coding RNA (1576 nucleotides) under Trifolium pratense (red clover). RNAcentral's name for it is "long non-coding RNA (TPRA_LNC001125)". Lineage: Eukaryota; Viridiplantae; Streptophyta; Magnoliopsida; Fabales; Fabaceae. The record is from RNAcentral.